Molecule: long non-coding RNA, 121 nt
Organism: Sinocyclocheilus anshuiensis
Lineage: Eukaryota; Metazoa; Chordata; Actinopteri; Cypriniformes; Cyprinidae
Exons: 3
Source: RefSeq, a predicted model, not a curated record
GUUUGUGUUGAUGUAUGCACUCUACGUGGUAUUGGAGGGGCAUUUUGAUUUCAAUUAAUAUGACAUGCCAACAAUUAGAAGGUGCUGGUGUAUGCUUCUGCUGAGUAAUUAUCCAUUGAAG